AGUUCCCUUCCCCGCACUGCGGGCCCUGGUCCCUGGUCCGGUGCGCGGACUUGCAGCAGGCUCGGCUCCCGUCCCCAGCUGUGCAGCCGGGCUGACGACCGACCCGGAGCCUCCCCUCUGAGACCCCCACCCAACCAGCGCACCCUCUGCCCCGUCCUUUCUCCCUGCAGUCCUUCGGGACGACCCCGCAGGGCCGGGUAAUGAGGCCCGCACACCCCUCCGCGCGACCUGUCCCCAAAGGGCUAUCAUCUGGGCAGGGCAGGGACUCCAGCCUGUGAUCCCUCCGCAUGGCCCAGGAUCGGGCCCACCUUGCCUGCGGGGGGCUCCAGGACAGAUGAGGGGAGGGCGCUGCCGGCGCACACCGGGGCCACAAGCUCCAGUCCCACCCCGCGGCCGCCAAGUCCCCCGAACCCGACCAGCCCGGACCCGGGACCUGUCGCGGGCCUCUUGGGAGGACCUCCUCCAGUUCUGGGCAGCGGGUAAGUCCCUCACUCCAGACUCGGGCCU
This 507-nucleotide long non-coding RNA is filed under the name Marmota monax (woodchuck). The record is from RNAcentral. Lineage: Eukaryota; Metazoa; Chordata; Mammalia; Rodentia; Sciuridae.